This 600-nucleotide ribosomal RNA is filed under the name Shinella sp. Its description in RNAcentral is "bacterial SSU rRNA". It matches the Rfam family "Bacterial small subunit ribosomal RNA", at positions 96 to 731 of the family's 1533-position model. Lineage: Bacteria; Pseudomonadati; Pseudomonadota; Alphaproteobacteria; Hyphomicrobiales; Rhizobiaceae. The record is from RNAcentral.
UGGCAGACGGGUGAGUAACGCGUGGUAACGUACCCUUUACUACGGAAUAACUCAGGGAAACUUGUGCUAAUACCGUAUGUGCCCUUCGGGGGAAAGAUUUAUCGGUAAAGGAUCGGCCCGCGUUGAAUUAGCUAGUUGGUGGGGUAAAGGCCUACCAAGGCGACGAUCCAUAGCUGGUCUGAGAGGAUGAUCAGCCACAUUGGGACUGAGACACGGCCCAAACUCCUACGGGAGGCAGCAGUGGGGAAUAUUGGACAAUGGGCGCAAGCCUGAUCCAGCCAUGCCGCGUGAGUGAUGAAGGCCCUAGGGUUGUAAAGCUCUUUCACCGGUGAAGAUAAUGACGGUAACCGGAGAAGAAGCCCCGGCUAACUUCGUGCCAGCAGCCGCGGUAAUACGAAGGGGGCUAGCGUUGUUCGGAAUUACUGGGCGUAAAGCGCACGUAGGCGGUUAUUUAAGUCAGGGGUGAAAUCCCAGAGCUCAACUCUGGAACUGCCUUUGAUACUGGGUACCUAGAGUAUGGAAGAGGUAAGUGGAAUUCCGAGUGUAGAGGUGAAAUUCGUAGAUAUUCGGAGGAACACCAGUGGCGAAGGCGGCUUACUG